GUGCCAGCAGCCGCGGUAAUACGAAGGGGGCUAGCGUUGCUCGGAAUUACUGGGCGUAAAGGGAGCGUAGGCGGACAUUUAAGUCAGAGGUGAAAUCCCGGAGCUUAACUUCGGAACUGCCUUUGAUACUGGGUGUCUUGAGUGUGAGAGAGGUAUGUGGAACUCCGAGUGUAGAGGUGAAAUUCGUAGAUAUUCGGAAGAACACCAGUGGCGAAGGCGACAUACUGGCUCAUUACUGACGCUGAGGCUCGAAAGCGUGGGGAGCAAACAGGAUUAGAAACCCGUGUAGUCC
Molecule: ribosomal RNA, 292 nt
Filed under: uncultured bacterium
Lineage: Bacteria
Description: partial 16S ribosomal RNA
Rfam family: Bacterial small subunit ribosomal RNA
Source: RNAcentral